GAAAAAGCAGGGAUCUGUUGCCUGUGUGAAUGGAUCUCUCGUAGACUUCAGGGAAAUAUAUUCACUGUUAUUGGGUGAACCUCUGUUAUCUGUCGUGGCUGAAGGUUCAAAAAAUGGUGUCACAUCA
Molecule: non-coding RNA, 127 nt
Organism: Eucalyptus grandis
Lineage: Eukaryota; Viridiplantae; Streptophyta; Magnoliopsida; Myrtales; Myrtaceae
Source: Rfam